RNAcentral lists this ribosomal RNA (686 nucleotides) under Prevotella intermedia. Its description in RNAcentral is "bacterial SSU rRNA". It matches the Rfam family "Bacterial small subunit ribosomal RNA", at positions 371 to 1058 of the family's 1533-position model. The record is from RNAcentral. Lineage: Bacteria; Pseudomonadati; Bacteroidota; Bacteroidia; Bacteroidales; Prevotellaceae.
AUGGACGUAAGUCUGAACCAGCCAAGUAGCGUGCAGGAUUGACGGCCCUAUGGGUUGUAAACUGCUUUUGUUGGGGAGUAAAGUGAGGCACGCGUGCCUUUCUGCAUUUACCCUUCGAAUAAGGACCGGCUAAUUCCGCGCCAGCAGCCGCGGUAAUACGGAAGGUCCAGGCGUUAUCCGGAUUUAUUGGGUUUAAAGGGAGUGUAGGCGGUCUGUUAAGCGUGUUGUGAAAUUUAGGUGCUCAACAUCUAACUUGCAGCGCGAACUGGCGGACUUGAGUGCACGCAACGUAUGCGGAAUUCAUGGUGUAGCGGUGAAAUGCUUAGAUAUCAUGACGAACUCCGAUUGCGAAGGCAGCGUACGGGAGUGUUACUGACGCUUAAGCUCGAAGGUGCGGGUAUCGAACAGGAUUAGAUACCCUGGUAGUCCGCACGGUAAACGAUGGAUGCCCGCUGUUAGCGCCUGGCGUUAGCGGCUAAGCGAAAGCAUUAAGCAUCCCACCUGGGGAGUACGCCGGCAACGGUGAAACUCAAAGGAAUUGACGGGGGCCCGCACAAGCGGAGGAACAUGUGGUUCAAUUCGAUGAUACGCGAGGAACCUUACCCGGGCUUGAAUUGCAGACGCAGGAUACAGAGAUGUUGACUCCCUUCGGGGCGUCUGUGAAGGUGCUGCAUGGUUGUCGUCAG